UCUGCAACCUACACCACAGCUCACUUCAACCCACUGAGUGAGGCCAGGGAUCAAACCUGCAUCCUCAUGGAUGCUAGUCAGAUUCGAUUCUGCUGCGCCAUGAAGGGCCCUCCCCAAGUUGCUUUCUAAAGCAAGGGAGCAGCAGGGGCCAAUAAAACUAAGAAGGAAAUUUGGAGCCCUCAACCUGGAACCCACCACUGGCUCACGGUCACCUGGCCGCUGACUUGCCGUAGGACUUUGCACAGGUGACGGGCCUGGGUUUCCUCUUCCGCGAUAUGGAGUUGAUACUACGUUCUCCCGCAGCCUUUGGGCACUGCCGUGAGGCCCAAAGGAGCUCAGAUGAGAAAGUAGUUUGGGAGUUCCCAUCAUGGCUCAGUGGU
Molecule: non-coding RNA, 380 nt
Organism: Sus scrofa (pig)
Lineage: Eukaryota; Metazoa; Chordata; Mammalia; Artiodactyla; Suidae
Source: RefSeq, a predicted model, not a curated record